This 253-nucleotide ribosomal RNA is filed under the name uncultured bacterium. Its description in RNAcentral is "partial 16S ribosomal RNA". It matches the Rfam family "Bacterial small subunit ribosomal RNA", at positions 524 to 776 of the family's 1533-position model. The record is from RNAcentral.
UACGUAGGUGGCAAGCGUUGUCCGGAUUUACUGGGCGUAAAGAGCGCGCAGGCGGUUGGAUAAGUCGAAUGUGAAAGCCCCCGGCUCAACUGGGGAGGGUCAUUCGAUACUGUCCGACUCGAAGGCAGGAGAGGGAAGCGGAAUUCCUGGUGUAGCGGUGAAAUGCGCAGAUAUCAGGAAGAACACCCGUGGCGAAAGCGGCUCUCUGGAACGGUACUGACGCUGAGACGCGAAAGCGUGGGGAGUGAACAGG